This 253-nucleotide ribosomal RNA is filed under the name uncultured bacterium. RNAcentral describes it as "partial 16S ribosomal RNA". It matches the Rfam family "Bacterial small subunit ribosomal RNA", at positions 524 to 776 of the family's 1533-position model. The record is from RNAcentral.
UACGAAGGGGGCUAGCGUUGCUCGGAAUUACUGGGCGUAAAGCGCACGUAGGCGGAUUGUUAAGUCGGGGGUGAAAUCCUGGAGCUCAACUCCAGAACUGCCUUCGAUACUGGCGAUCUCGAGUUCGGGAGAGGUGAGUGGAACUGCGAGUGUAGAGGUGAAAUUCGUAGAUAUUCGCAAGAACACCAAUUGCGAAGGCAGCUCACUACACAGUUAUUGACGCUGAGGCACGAAAGCGUGGGGAUCAAACAGG